RNAcentral lists this ribosomal RNA (310 nucleotides) under uncultured soil bacterium. RNAcentral's name for it is "bacterial SSU rRNA". It matches the Rfam family "Bacterial small subunit ribosomal RNA", at positions 26 to 364 of the family's 1533-position model. The record is from RNAcentral.
AGAACGAACGCUGGCGGCAUGCCUAAUACAUGCAAGUCGAACGAACUCUUCGGAGUUAGUGGCGCACGGGUGCGUAACGCGUGGGAAUCUGCCCUUGGGUUCGGAAUAACAGUUGGAAACGACUGCUAAUACCGGAUGAUGACGAAAGUCCAAAGAUUUAUCGCCCAGGGAUGAGCCCGCGUAGGAUUAGCUAGUUGGUGAGGUAAAGGCUCACCAAGGCGACGAUCCUUAGCUGGUCUGAGAGGAUGAUCAGCCACACUGGGACUGAGACACGGCCCAGACUCCUACGGGAGGCAGCAGUAGGGAUAUU